Molecule: ribosomal RNA, 253 nt
Filed under: uncultured bacterium
Lineage: Bacteria
Description: partial 16S ribosomal RNA
Rfam family: Bacterial small subunit ribosomal RNA
Source: RNAcentral
UACGAAGGGGGCUAGCGUUGCUCGGAAUCACUGGGCGUAAAGGGUGCGUAGGCGGGUUUUUAAGUCAGGGGUGAAAUCCUGGAGCUCAACUCCAGAACUGCCUUUGAUACUGAAGAUCUUGAGUCCGGGAGAGGUGAGUGGAACUGCGAGUGUAGAGGUGAAAUUCGUAGAUAUUCGCAAGAACACCAGUGGCGAAGGCAGCUCUCUGGGACGGUACUGACGCUGAGACGCGAAAGCGUGGGGAGCGAACAGG